RNAcentral lists this long non-coding RNA (199 nucleotides) under Elaeis guineensis (African oil palm). RNAcentral's name for it is "long non-coding RNA (EGUI_LNC034336)". The record is from RNAcentral. Lineage: Eukaryota; Viridiplantae; Streptophyta; Magnoliopsida; Arecales; Arecaceae.
GCCCUUACCAUUUAUCAAAAUAAAAUAACGAUAACCAAAAACUUUGAAAUAAGAAAUAUUUGAUUUCUUAUUUUUGUAAAACUCAUAGAAGAUUUUCUUUAAAAUAGGUGUAAUCAAUGCUUGAUUAAGCAUAUGGUAUAUAAUGUUUAUAGCUUCCACUCAAAAAUCUUUGGUAAGUUAUUUUCACAAUGCAUGGUCC